AUGAUGAAGGCCAAGUGUAACUGGUGCUCAAAGAAGCUUGGAGGGGAACCAAGAAAUGGAACGAAGCAUCUCCUUGACCAUUUAAAGAUAUGUCCAUAUCGCAAGAGGCCUGCGGACACCAAGAAGCAAACUUCUUUGAGGUAUAGUUCGAAUGUACAAGGUGGGAAAGUUGCUGUAGAGAACUAUACUUUUGACCAGGAUAUUGCUAGAAAGGCUCUUGGUUCCAUGAUUCUUCUCCAUGACUAUCCUCUGUCAAUUGUUGAUCACAUUGGGUUUAGAAAAUUUGUUUCUGCACUCCAGCCAUUAUUUAAGAUGGUGAGAUGA
This 324-nucleotide ribosomal RNA is filed under the name Triticum aestivum (bread wheat). RNAcentral's name for it is "partial small subunit ribosomal RNA". Lineage: Eukaryota; Viridiplantae; Streptophyta; Magnoliopsida; Poales; Poaceae. The record is from RNAcentral.